GACGAACGCUGGCGGCGUGCUUAACACAUGCAAGUCGAACGGAAAGGCCCUGCUUUUGUGGGGUGCUCGAGUGGCGAACGGGUGAGUAACACGUGAGUAACCUGCCCUUGACUUUGGGAUAACUUCAGGAAACUGGGGCUAAUACCGGAUAGGAGCUCCUGCUGCAUGUGGGGGGUUGGAAAGUUUCGGCGGUUGUGGAUGGACUCGCGGCUUAUCAGCUUGUUGGUGGGGUAGUGGCUUACCAAGGCUUUGACGGGUAGCCGGCCUGAGAGGGUGACCGGCCACAUGGGGACUGAGAUACGGACCAGAAUCCUACGGGAGGCAGCAGUGGGGAAUCUGGCACAAUGGGCGGAAGCCUGAUGCAGCAACGCCGCGUGCGGGAUGACGGCCUUUGGGUUGUAAACCGCUUUCGCCUGUGACGAAGCGUGAGUGACGGUAAUGGGUAAAGAAGCACCGGCUAACUACGUG
This 468-nucleotide ribosomal RNA is filed under the name uncultured bacterium. RNAcentral describes it as "partial 16S ribosomal RNA". It matches the Rfam family "Bacterial small subunit ribosomal RNA", at positions 28 to 507 of the family's 1533-position model. The record is from RNAcentral.